GGACUGAGAUACGGCCCAGACUCCUACGGGAGGCAGCAGUCGGGAAUAUUGCGCAAUGGAGGAAACUCUGACGCAGUGACGCCGCGUAUAGGAAGAAGGUUUUCGGAUUGUAAACUAUUGUCGUUAGGGAAGAAAAGGACAGUACCUAAGGAGGAAGCUCCGGCUAACUACGUGCCAGCAGCCGCGGUAAUACGUAGGGAGCGAGCGUUAUCCGGAAUUAUUGGGUGUAAAGGGUGCGUAGACGGGAAGAUAAGUUAGUUGUGAAAUCCCUCGGCUUAACUGAGGAACUGCAACUAAAACUGUUUUUCUUGAGUGCAGGAGAGGUAAGUGGAAUUCCUAGUGUAGCGGUGAAAUGCGUAGAUAUUAGGAGGAACACCAGUGGCGAAGGCGACUUACUGGACUGUAACUGACGUUGAGGCACGAAAGUGUGGGGAGCAAACAGGAUUAGAUACCCUGGUAGUCCACACCGUAAACGAUGGAUACUAGGUGUAGGAGAUAUUAAGUCUUCUGUGCCGUCGCAAACGCAAUAAGUAUCCCACCUGGGGAGUACGGCCGCAAGGUUGAAACUCAAAGGAAUUGACGGGGGCCCGCACAAGCAGUGGAGUAUGUGGUUUAAUUCGAAGCAACGCGAAGAACCUUACCAAGGCUUGACAUAUACAGGAAUAUUUAAGAGAUUAAAUAGCUCUUCGGAGUCUGUAUACAGGUGGUGCAUGGUUGUCGUCAGCUCGUGCCGUGAGGUGUUGGGUUAAGUCCCGCAACGAGCGCAACCCCUGUCCUUAGUUGCCAGCAUGUAGAGAUGGGAACUCUAAGGAGACUGCCGUAGAUAAUACGGAGGAAGGUGGGGAUGACGUCAAAUCAUCAUGCCCUUUAUGUCUUGGGCUACACACGUACUACAAUGGAUGUUACAAAGGGAAGCGAAGUAGUGAUAUGGAGCGAAACCCAAAAAGCAUCCCCAGUUCGGAUUGUAGGCUGAAAUUCGCCUACAUGAAGCCGGAAUUGCUAGUAAUGGCAGGUCAGCAUACUGCC
This 1026-nucleotide ribosomal RNA is filed under the name human gut metagenome. Its description in RNAcentral is "bacterial SSU rRNA". It matches the Rfam family "Bacterial small subunit ribosomal RNA", at positions 316 to 1361 of the family's 1533-position model. The record is from RNAcentral.